CCUACGGGAGGCAGCAGUGAGGAAUAUUGGUCAAUGGACGAGAGUCUGAACCAGCCAAGUAGCGUGAAGGAUGACUGCCCUAUGGGUUGUAAACUUCUUUUAUAUGGGAAUAAAAUGAUCCACGUGUGGGCUUUUGUAUGUACCAUAUGAAUAAGGAUCGGCUAACUCCGUGCCAGCAGCCGCGGUAAUACGGAGGAUCCGAGCGUUAUCCGGAUUUAUUGGGUUUAAAGGGAGCGUAGGUGGAUCGUUAAGUCAGUUGUGAAAGUUUGCGGCUCAACCGUAAAAUUGCAGUUGAAACUGGCAGUCUUGAGUACAGUAGAGGUGGGCGGAAUUCGUGGUGUAGCGGUGAAAUGCUUAGAUAUCACGAAGAACUCCGAUUGCGAAGGCAGCUCACUGGACUGCAACUGACACUGAGGCUCGAAAGUGUGGGUAUCAAACAGGAUUAGAUACCCGGGUAGUC
RNAcentral lists this ribosomal RNA (460 nucleotides) under uncultured bacterium. RNAcentral describes it as "partial 16S ribosomal RNA". It matches the Rfam family "Bacterial small subunit ribosomal RNA", at positions 338 to 795 of the family's 1533-position model. The record is from RNAcentral.